RNAcentral lists this long non-coding RNA (3223 nucleotides) under Zonotrichia albicollis (white-throated sparrow). RNAcentral's name for it is "lncRNA (ENSZALG00000000684.1)". Lineage: Eukaryota; Metazoa; Chordata; Aves; Passeriformes; Passerellidae. The record is from RNAcentral.
AUGCGGGGAAGCUGCGGGUGUUUAUUUUAUUAUUCCCGUGGUUUAUUCCCGUUGUUUUUCCCGUGGUUUAUUGGCAGGUGGACGCGGGGAAGCUGCGGGUGUUUAUUUCAUUAUUCCCGUGGUUUAUUCCUGUGGUUUAUUCCCAUUUUAAUUCCCAGGUGGACGCGGGGAAGCUGCGGGCGUUUAUUUCACAUUUUCCCAUUGUUUAUUCCCAUUUUAUCCAUGGUUUAUUCCCAGGACGCGGGGAAGCUGCGCGUGUUUAUUUUAUUGUUCCCGUGGUUUAUUCCUGUGGUUUAUUCCCGUGGUUUAUUGUCAGGUGGACGCGGGGAAGCUGCGGGUGUUUAUUCCCAGAUUUCCCGUGGUUUAUUCCCGUGGUUUAUUCCCAUUUUAACUCCCAGGUGGACGCGGGGAAGCUGCAGGUGUUUAUUUCACAUUUUCCCAUUGGUUAUUCCCAAUUUUCCGGUUGUUUUUCCCGUGGUUUAUUGUCAGGUGGACGCGGGGAAGCUGCGGGUGAUUAUUUACAUUUUCCCAUUGUUUAUUGCCAUUUUAAUUCCCGUGGUUUAUUGUCAGGUGGACGCGGGGAAGCUGUGGGUGUUUAUUUCAUUAUUCCCGUUGUUUAUUCCCAUCAUUUUUCCCGUGGUUUAUUCCCAGGUGGGCGCGGGGAAGCUGCGGGUAUUUAUGUCACAUUUUCCCGUUGUUUAUUCCCAAUUUUCCCAUUGUUUAUUCCCGUGGUUUAUUCCCAUUUUAAUUCCCAGGUGGAUGCAGGGAAGUUGUGGGUGUUUAUUUCACAUUUGCCCAUUGUUUAUUCCCGUUUUUCCUGUUUAUUCCCAGGUGGACACAGGGAAGCUGGGGGUGUUUAUUUCACAUUUUCCCGUUGUUUAUUCCCAAUUUUCUCAUUGUUUAUUGCCAAUUUUUCACAUUGUUUUUCCCGUUCCCAUUCCCAGGUGGACGCUGCAGGUGUUUAUUCCCCAUUUUCUCAUUGUUUUUCCAAAUGUCCCCACUGUUUAUUCCCAUUUUCCCCUUGUUUAUUCCCAGGUGGAUGCAGGCAAGCUGUGGGUGUUUAUUCUCGUUUUUCCCGGUGUUUAUUUCCAUUUUUCCCACUGUUUAUUCCCGUUUUUCCCGUGGUUUAUUCCCAGGUGGACGCGGGGAAGCUGCGAGUGUUUAUUUCAUUAUUCCCGUUGUUUAUUCCCGUCAUUUUUCCCGUGGUUUAUUCCCAGGUGGACGCGGGGAAGCUGCGGGUGGUGGACGAGAGCGAGGGCCGGCUCUGGGCCGAGAGCCGCGGAUUCCUCUACUGGGAGACGUCGGCGCAGAGCGGGGAGGGCAUCCAGGAGAUGUUCCAGGUGGGAAUUCCCAAAAAAAUCCGGGAAUUUCCUGGGAAUUCUGGCUUGGAAUUCUGGGUGGGAAUUCCUUGGGAGAUGUUCCAGGAGGGAAUUCCCAAAAAAAUCCGGGAAUUCUGGGAAUUUUUUGGGUGGGAAUCCUGGGAAUUUUUGGGAUUUUCCUGGGAAUUCUGGGUGGGAAUUCCAGGUGGGCAUCCAGGAGAUGUUCCAGGUGGGAAUUGCCAAAAAAUCCAGGAAUUCCGGGAAUUUUUUGGGUGGGAAUUCUGGGAAUUUUGGGGGAUUUUCCUGGGAAUUCUGGGUGGGAAUUCUGGGAACUCUGGGUGGGAAUUCCUUGGGAGAUGUUCCAGGAGGGAAUUCCCAAAUAUCCGGGUGGGAAUUCUGGGUGGGAAUCCAGGAGAUGUUCCAGGUGGGAAACCCCAAAAAUCUGGGAAUUAUGGGAAUUUUUUGGGUGGAAAUUCUGGGAAUUUUUGGGAUUCUCUUGGGAAUUCUGGGUGGAAAUUCCUGGUGGGAAUUCCAGGAGAUGUUCCAGGUGGGAAACCCCAAAAAAAUCCGGGAAUUCUGGGUGGAAAAAUCCGGGAAUUCCGGCUGGUGUUCCAGGUGGGAACUCCGGGAAUUCUGGGUGGAAGUUCUGGGAAUUCUGGGAAUUUUAGGGUGGGAAUUCUGGGAGAAGUUUUGGGAUUUUCCUGGGAAUUCUGGGUGGGAAUUGUGGGAAUUCCUUGGGAGAUGUUCCAGGUGGGGAUUCCCAAAAAAUCUGGGAAUUCUCAGAAUUUUUGGGUGGAAAUCCUGGGAAUUUUUGGGAUUCUCUUGGGAAUUGUGGGUGGGAAUUCCGGGAAUUUCUGGGUGGGAAUUCCAGGUGGGAAUUCCCAAAAAAAUCCGGGAAUUCUGAGAAUUUUUUGGUGGAAAUUCUGGGAAUUUUUGGGAUUCUCUUGGGAAUUCUGGGUGGAAAUUCUGGGUGGGAAUUCCAGGAGAUGUUCCAGGUGGGAAUUCCCAAAAAAAUCUGGGAAUUCUGGGUGGAAAAAUCCGGGAAUUCUGGCUGGUGUUCCAGGUGGGAACUCCAGUAAUUCUGAGUGGAAAUUCCGGGAAUUCUGGGAAUUUUUGGGUGGGAAUUCUGGGAGAAGUUUUGGGAUUCUCCUGGGAAUUCCGGGUGGGAAUUGUGGGAAUUCCUUGGGAGAUGUUCCAGGUGGGAAUUCCCAAAAAAAAUCCGGAAAUUCUGGGAAUUUUUGGGUGGGAAUUCUGGGAAUUUUUGGGAUUAUCCUGGGAAUUCUGGGUUGGAAUUCCGGGAAUUCUGGGUGGGAAUUCCAGGAGAUGUUCCAGGUGGGAAUUCCCUAAAAUCCGGGAAUUCUGGGAAUUUUUUGGGUGGGAAUUUUGGGGAUUUUCCUGGGAAUUCUGGCUUGGAAUUCUGGGUGGGAAUUCCGGGUGGGAAUUUACAAAAAAAUCCAGGAAUUCUGAGAAUUUUUGGGUGGAAAUUCUGGGUGGGAAUUCCCUGAGAGAUGGUCCAGGCUGGAAUUCCUUGGGAGAUGUUCCAGGAGGGAAUUCCCAAAUAUCCGAGGGGGAAUUCCGGGUGGGAAUUCCCAAAAAAAUCCAGGAAUUCUGGGAAUUUUUUGGGUGGGAAUUCUGGGAAUUUUGGGGAUUCUCCUGGGAAUUCUGGGUGGGAAUUCUGGGUGGGAAUUCCUUGGGAGAUGUUCCUGGUGGGAAUUUGGGAAUUCUGGGAGACGCUUCAGGUGGGAAUUGUCCCAGGAAUUCUGAGAAUUCUGGAAAUUCCAGGUGGGAUUUGGGGUGGGAACGAUCCAGGAGAUGUUCCAGGUGGGAAACCCCAAGAAAAUCCAGAAAUUCUGGGAAUUUUUGGGUGGAAAUUCUGGGAAUUUUUGGGAUUCUCCUGGGAAUUC